CCUACGGGUGGCAGCAGUGGGGAAUAUGGGACAAUGGGGGCAACCCUGAUCCAGCCAUGCCGCGUGUGUGAAGAAGGCCCUCGGGUUGUAAAGCACUUUCAGUGAGGAAGAACGCCUGGUGGUUAAUACCCAUCAGGAAAGACAUCACUCACAGAAGAAGCACCGGCUAACUCCGUGCCAGCAGCCGCGGUAAUACGGAGGGUGCGGGCGUUAAUCGGAAUUACUGGGCGUAAAGCGCGCGUAGGUGGCUUGAUAAGCCGGUUGUGAAAGCCCCGGGCUCAACCUGGGAACGGCAUCCGGAACUGUCCAGCUAGAGUGCAGGAGAGGAAGGUAGAAUUCCCGGUGUAGCGGUGAAAUGCGUAGAGAUCGGGAGGAAUACCAGUGGCGAAGGCGGCCUUCUGGACUGACACUGACACUGAGGUGCGAAAGCGUGGGUAGCAAACAGGAUUAGAUACCCCAGUAGUC
RNAcentral lists this ribosomal RNA (465 nucleotides) under Vreelandella stevensii. RNAcentral describes it as "partial 16S ribosomal RNA". It matches the Rfam family "Bacterial small subunit ribosomal RNA", at positions 338 to 795 of the family's 1533-position model. Lineage: Bacteria; Pseudomonadati; Pseudomonadota; Gammaproteobacteria; Oceanospirillales; Halomonadaceae. The record is from RNAcentral.